CUUAUUUUGUUAGUUUGGCAAUUUUGGGACAAUUCAGGUCACGUGCUUCCUAGGGCUCAAGUAUGGAAGCAAAUCAUGGGUGGUUAAAUGGUCCUUCCAUAGUGUUGGUAAAAAAAAGCUCAGCAACAAACACUUCUUUUUCCAUCAGUUCUUUCCUUUCUGGAGAUCAUAAAAUAAUGUGUUUUGUCUGAUAAGUCUGGGUUACAGGCAACUGUUUUGAUAACCCCACCUUCUGAUAUUUGAUCGGAGUGGAAAUGAUGGAUGAUAGCAUUGUCUGUUGACUACAAUCUUGAUGAAUCUAGUAAUUGUCCCCUGAUGUCCAUACAUGCUCUAGAAUUUGUGCUGGGGUCUCUUGCCUUAACCAGGAAAUGUGAGUUUCCUGACCAGUUCCUUACAUUCCCUUUCUGAUAAUCUAUCACCAUUUGGUGUUCACUGGUGGACGGUCUACUUCAUGAAAUGUCUUAUAAUUUUCUUGAUGGUUUAUUUAUUUUAAAAAUUUUGAAUCGCAUUAUGUAUCAACAUCUGGUUCUUAAUGUUUUAUUCUUUUCUUCUUUGAAAUUUUAG
RNAcentral lists this unclassified non-coding RNA (564 nucleotides) under Hevea brasiliensis (rubber tree). The record is from RNAcentral. Lineage: Eukaryota; Viridiplantae; Streptophyta; Magnoliopsida; Malpighiales; Euphorbiaceae.